CAGCCGCCGCGGGAAUACAGAGGGUGCAAGCGUUAAUCGGAUUUACUGGGCGUAAAGGGCGCGUAGGUGGUUAUGUAAGUGAGAUGUGAAAUCCCCGGGUUCAACCUGGGAACUGCAUCUUAUACUGCGUAGCUGGAGUGCAGUAGAGGGUAGUGGAAUUUCCGGUGUAGCGGUGAAAUGCGUAGGGAUCUGGAGGAAUACCGGUGGCGAAGGCGGCCCCCUGGACGAAGACUGACGCUCAGGUACGAAAGCGUGGGGAGCAAACAGGAUUAGAUACCCCCGUAGUCCCUGUCUCUUAUAC
RNAcentral lists this ribosomal RNA (301 nucleotides) under uncultured bacterium. RNAcentral's name for it is "partial 16S ribosomal RNA". It matches the Rfam family "Bacterial small subunit ribosomal RNA", at positions 509 to 807 of the family's 1533-position model. The record is from RNAcentral.